GCCCCAGUAGCUCAGCUGGAUAGAGCAGCGGCCUUCUAAUUCGCUGGUCGGAGGUUCGAGUCCUCCCUGGGGUG
This 74-nucleotide transfer RNA is filed under the name Tessaracoccus sp. Its description in RNAcentral is "tRNA-Arg". It matches the Rfam family "tRNA". From Rfam's summary of the family: Transfer RNA (tRNA) molecules are approximately 80 nucleotides in length. Their secondary structure includes four short double-helical elements and three loops (D, anti-codon, and T loops). RNAcentral also lists the same sequence under 1 other name. The record is from RNAcentral. Lineage: Bacteria; Bacillati; Actinomycetota; Actinomycetes; Propionibacteriales; Propionibacteriaceae.